AGUCAGAACCAGAGAGAAGGCAUCUUGAGAAAGACUUGGCUGACCAUUGCUUGCUUUGAAAAUGGCCUGGAGCCUUGAGACAAGGAAUGCAGGUAGUCUCUAGAAGCUGGAUAAGGUAUAAAUUCUAUGAAUGCAGGAUAUUAGCCAUAAAUCAUAGAGGGGUUAAAUGAAAGAAGCUGAAUUUGAACCCAGGCAGUCUGACUCCAGGGCCAUUUCCUUAACUGGCAGAAGUUCUUAUUUUGAUGAAGUCCAAUCUAUGAAUAUCUUAACGGAUUACAUUUUGGAGUCGCAUCAAAAAAUCUUUGCUGAACUCAAAGUCACAAUGAAUCUCUUCAGUGUUUUCUUGCAGAAGGGUCUGCCUGGGGUCCCAGAUCCCAGUCUUUUGGGGAGGGAACAAAGUUUUCUCUUACCUCAUUC
This 417-nucleotide long non-coding RNA is filed under the name Equus caballus (horse). RNAcentral describes it as "lncRNA (ENSECAG00000045821.1)". Lineage: Eukaryota; Metazoa; Chordata; Mammalia; Perissodactyla; Equidae. The record is from RNAcentral.